Molecule: ribosomal RNA, 228 nt
Filed under: uncultured bacterium
Lineage: Bacteria
Description: partial 16S ribosomal RNA
Rfam family: Bacterial small subunit ribosomal RNA
Source: RNAcentral
UGAGCAAUCUGCCCUGCUCAUCGGAAUAAGCGUUGGAAACGACGUCUAAUGCCGAAUACGACCUCCUUUCGCAUGAUCGGAGGUGGAAAGCUCCGGCGGAGAAGGAUGAGCUCGCGGCCUAUCAGCUAGUUGGUGUGGGUAAUGGCCCACCAAGGCGACGACGGGUAGCCGGCCUGAGAGGGUGACCGGCCACACUGGGACUGAGACACGGCCAGCUCCGUAGGGAGG